Molecule: long non-coding RNA, 240 nt
Filed under: Homo sapiens (human)
Lineage: Eukaryota; Metazoa; Chordata; Mammalia; Primates; Hominidae
Description: HSALNT0196636
Source: RNAcentral
CAAUUUAGACAGUGGCAGGCUGUAUUUGAAGCCUAUGGAAUGGCUAUUCGUUAAGGAGAAGAUGGGAGCACACACUCACUGGGUUCCCAGGGGAAGCUGACUUUGAUGUUGCCCGGGAGCAGGGCUGAUUCUGUGAGGUGUAACUAGAGACAGGAUUUACCAGGAGAGUCUGCUUCCUGGAGAAUGUUGAAAUAUCUGAUGCCGUUUACUUUGAAACCCGUAGAUCAUUCUCUUUGCCUU